GUAUCAUAGAGUCCAACUGGAGCUGGUAGAUCACACAGUUAUAACUUCAGAUACCUGUCCUGAUCUCAGGUGUUUCAUGUCAAAUUACAUUAACACAGUUAUAACUUCAGAUACCUGUCCUGAUUUCAGGUGUUUCAUGCCAAAUUACAUUAAUAGUGUUAUAACUACAGAUACCUGUCCUGAUCUCAGGUGUUUCAUGUCAAAUUACAUUAAUAAGCAAUGUAAGAAGAGAAUAGGUAGCAGAGGGUAACAAUUUACAGUGAGCAAUACAUUUAUUUAUUCAUGCAGUGCCUGUCCCAUAAUGUUCUGUUUUUCUUUCCUUUUUAAUUUUAAUUGUAUUUUAAAGGUCUGAUGACAGUCACAAAAACAGAAAUUGACACCACGAUGUCUUUGGAAAGUAGAAGACUAUUCAGAACAUGUUCCACUCUCUGUGAAAAGAAGGGUGAUAUAUGCUUGUCAGCAUGGAAAGAACUACAAGAAAACAACCACAACAGAUGAUUUGGACAUGGCAUCAGAGGUGCAGGAUAUUCUGGCACUACAAGACCCAAACCUGGUGAUCAGCAAAGCCUUCAAACUGUGUAUUAUACAGGGUGACUUGGCCACACUGAAGGAGGGUUGCUGGCUUAAUGACAAGGUUAUCAACUUCUAUUUGUCCUUGCUAAUGAAAAGAAACAGUGAUCAGCUGGGAGCCUUAAAGUCUUCUCUUACAGCACUUUUUUCUACCCAAAGCUUCAGAGUGGUGAAGGCCAUGCAGCAGUGAAGAACUGGACAAAAACUCAGGACCUCUUUGUCUGAUCUUGUUUUUGUUCCUUUGCACCUAGGCAUGCAUUGUGCUUUGGCUGUAAGUCAUAUAUAAGUUGGGAUGCAUUGUUUUAAUAUUUAUGUUUUUGAAAGUGUAAAACAAUUUUUUUUUUAUUUUCAGUUUGUCUUUAACUUGCCUAUAUUGCUUCUAACCACCAGGGAAUUUAUUUUAAAUCCCAGACCAUACAGUGCUAUGACUCAGAGACAUGAUGAUAUCUGUCAUGUUGUGAGUGUCUUCUUAUUUUUGCUGUUAUAUUAACCUUUGUUCUAUGUUUAUGUUCUGUAAUGCUGCUUUGAGACAAUGUCAAUUGUAAAAAGCUCUAUACAAAUAAACCUGAA
This is a long non-coding RNA of Tachysurus fulvidraco (yellow catfish), 1140 nucleotides long. RefSeq lists it as uncharacterized. NCBI's taxonomy places the organism in Eukaryota, Metazoa, Chordata, Actinopteri, Siluriformes, Bagridae. The record is from RefSeq and is a predicted model, not a curated record. The transcript is spliced from 3 exons.